UGAGAAGUCCGCUGGAGGUAUCGGAAGUGCGAAUGCUGACAUGAGUAACGAUAAUGCGGGUGAAAAGCCCGCACGCCGAAAGCCCAAGGUUUCCUUGCGCAACGUUAAUCGACGCAGGGUUAGUCGGUCCCUAAGGCGAGGGCGAAAGCCGUAGUCGAUGGGAAGCAGGUUAAUAUUCCUGCACCUCGCGUGAGUGCGAUGGAGGGACGGAGAAGGUUAGGUGUACCGGGCGUUGGUUGUCCCGGGGAAAGGCGGUAGGUUUGGAUCUUUGGCAAAUCCGGGAUCCUUUAAGACCGAGCACCGAGACGAGCCUUUAUGGCGAAGUCACUGAUACCACGCUUCCAGGAAAAGCUCCUAAGCUUCAGCUCACGAAGACCGUACCGUAAACCGACACAGGUGGGUAGGAUGAGAAUUCUCAGGCGCUUGAGAGAACUCGGGUGAAGGAACUAGGCAACAUGGCACCGUAACUUCGGGAGAAGGUGCACCCUUUUUGGUGGCUCAUGCGAGCUAUAGCUGAAGAGGGUCGCAGAAACCAGGCCGCUGCGACUGUUUAUCAAAAACACAGCACUCUGCAAACACGAAAGUGGACGUAUAGGGUGUGACGCCUGCCCGGUGCUGGAAGGUUAAUUGAUGGGGUCAGCCGCAAGGCGAAGCUCUUGAUCGAAGCCCCAGUAAACGGCGGCCGUAACUAUAACGGUCCUAAGGUAGCGAAAUUCCUUGUCGGGUAAGUUCCGACCUGCACGAAUGGCGUAACGACAGCGGCGCUGUCUCCACCCGAGACUCAGUGAAAUUGAAAUCGCUGUGAAGAUGCAGCGUUCCCGUGGCAAGACGGAAAGACCCCGUGAACCUUUACUAUAGCUUUACACUGAACGUUGAGUUCGUCUGUGUAGGAUAGGUGGGAGGCUAUGAAACUGUGGCGCUAGCUGCAGUGGAGCCAUCCUUGAAAUACCACCCUGUCGUGCUUGACGUUCUAACCUAGAUCCGUUAUCCGGAUCAGGGACCGUGUAUGGUGGGUAGUUUGACUGGGGCGGUCUCCUCCUAAAGAGUAACGGAGGAGCACGAAGGUACGCUCAGCGCGGUCGGACAUCGCGCACUGUGUGCAAAGGCAUAAGCGUGCUUGACUGCAAGAUCGACGGAUCAAGCAGGUACGAAAGUAGGUCUUAGUGAUCCGGUGGUUCUGUAUGGAAGGGCCAUCGCUCAACGGAUAAAAGGUACUCCGGGGAUAACAGGCUGAUACCGCCCAAGAGUUCAUAUCGACGGCGGUGUUUGGCACCUCGAUGUCGGCUCAUCACAUCCUGGGGCUGUAGUCGGUCCCAAGGGUAUGGCUGUUCGCCAUUUAAAGUGGUACGCGAGCUGGGUUCAGAACGUCGUGAGACAGUUCGGUCCCUAUCUGCCAUGGGCGUUGGAAGUUUGAGAGGGGCUGCUCCUAGUACGAGAGGACCGGAGUGGACGAACCUCUGGUGUUCCGGUUGUCACGCCAGUGGCAUUGCCGGGUAGCUAUGUUCGGAAGCGAUAACCGCUGAAAGCAUCUAAGCGGGAAGCGCGCCUCAAGAUGAGACUUCCCGGGGCACAAGCCCCCUAAAGGAACCAUAUAGACUAUGUGGUUGAUAGGUCAGGUGUGUAAGUACAGCAAUGUAUUGAGCUAACUGAUACUAAUGAUCCGUGCGGCUUGACCAUAUAACCUCA
RNAcentral lists this ribosomal RNA (1686 nucleotides) under Xanthomonas vesicatoria. Its description in RNAcentral is "bacterial LSU rRNA". It matches the Rfam family "Bacterial large subunit ribosomal RNA", at positions 1262 to 2925 of the family's 2925-position model. The record is from RNAcentral. Lineage: Bacteria; Pseudomonadati; Pseudomonadota; Gammaproteobacteria; Lysobacterales; Lysobacteraceae.